Molecule: ribosomal RNA, 951 nt
Filed under: uncultured archaeon
Lineage: Archaea
Description: partial 16S ribosomal RNA
Rfam family: Archaeal small subunit ribosomal RNA
Source: RNAcentral
UUAAGCCAUGCGAGUCUUUCCGCAAGGAAGGCAUACUGCUGAGUAACACGUGGAUAAUCUGCCCUUGGGUGGAGCAUAACCUCGGGAAACUGAGGCUAAUUCCCCAUAGGUUCUUGAGGCUGGAACGCGCUUGAACCAAAAGUUUCGACGCCCAAGGAUGAGUCUGCGGCUGAUCAGGCUGUUGGCGGGGUAACGGCCCACCAAACCUUAGACCAGUAGGGGCAAUGAGAGUUGUUGCCUCCAGUCGGGUACUGAGAUACUGACCCGGGUCCUACGGGACGCAGCAGGCGCGAAAACUCUGCAAUGCACGCAAGUGUGACAGGGGAACUCCAAGUGUUUCAGAACUUUUGUUUUGAUUCUUUUCCCAAGUGUAAAUAGCUUGGGGAAUAAGGGCUGGGUAAGACGGGUGCCAGCCGCCGCGGUAAUACCCGCGGCCCGAGUGGUGCUCAUUAUUAUUGAGCUUAAAGCGUUCGUAGCCGGCCUCGUAAAUCCUUGGGUAAAUCGGGCAGCUCAACUGUUCGACUUCCGAGGAGACUGCGAGGCUCGGGACCGGGAGAGGUCAGAGGUACUUCAGGGGUAGGGGUAAAAUCCUGUAAUCCUUGAAGGACCACCAGUGGCGAAGGCGUCUGACUAGAACGGAUCCGACGGUGAGGGACGAAGCCCUGGGGCGCAAACCGGAUUAGAUACCCGGGUAGUCCAGGGUGUAAACGCUGUGCGCUUGGUGUUGGGGGUCCUACGAGGGCACCCAGUGCCGGAGAGAAGUUGUUAAGCGCACCGCCUGGGGAGUACGGUCGCAAGACUGAAACUUAAAGGAAUUGGCGGGGGAGCACCGCAACGGGAGGAGCGUGCGGUUUAWUUGGAUUCAACGCCGAAAAACUCACCAGGGGCGACUGCCAUAUGAAGGCCAAGCUGAUGACUUUGCCUGAUUGGUAGAGAGGAGGUGCAUGGCCA